CCUACGGGUGGCAGCAGUGGGGAAUAUUGGACAAUGGGCGAAAGCCUGAUCCAGCCAUGCCGCGUGUGUGAAGAAGGCCUUCGGGGUGUAAAGCACUUUCAGUGGGGAAGAAAGCCUUGGGGCUAAUACCCUCGAGGAAGGACAUCACCCACAGAAGAAGCACCGGCUAACUCCGUGCCAGCAGCCGCGGUAAUACGGAGGGUGCGAGCGUUAAUCGGAAUUACUGGGCGUAAAGCGCGCGUAGGCGGUCUGAUAAGCCGGUUGUGAAAGCCCCGGGCUCAACCUGGGAACGGCAUCCGGAACUGUCAGGCUAGAGUGCAGGAGAGGAAGGUAGAAUUCCCGGUGUAGCGGUGAAAUGCGUAGAGAUCGGGAGGAAUACCAGUGGCGAAGGCGGCCUUCUGGACUGACACUGACGCUGAGGUGCGAAAGCGUGGGUAGCAAACAGGAUUAGAUACCCGUGUAGUC
Molecule: ribosomal RNA, 465 nt
Filed under: Vreelandella stevensii
Lineage: Bacteria; Pseudomonadati; Pseudomonadota; Gammaproteobacteria; Oceanospirillales; Halomonadaceae
Description: partial 16S ribosomal RNA
Rfam family: Bacterial small subunit ribosomal RNA
Source: RNAcentral